This 456-nucleotide unclassified non-coding RNA is filed under the name Hevea brasiliensis (rubber tree). The record is from RNAcentral. Lineage: Eukaryota; Viridiplantae; Streptophyta; Magnoliopsida; Malpighiales; Euphorbiaceae.
AGAAGAAGAAGAUGAUGAAGAAGAGGAUGAGAAGUACUGGGAAGAGAAGUUUAGGAAGGAAGUGAGUAGUGCAGAAGCAAUGGAGAAUCUAGCUAGAUGGAGCGUAGAGACAACUACUGAAUUGUAUAAGAGGCAGUUAAAGGCAAUGGAAACGCGGGAAAAGAUAAAAAAUAAAGAUGAAGAUGAAACUGCCUUGAGAGGUGUUAGAGCAAAAGUGAGUCCAGAAGAAUGGAAAGUUGCAGGAAUUGGCAGAUGGAGGAAGAGGAUUCGGAGGAGUAAAAUUCCUCCAGAGUUGUUCUUGCGAGCAGCAGUUAGACCCUUCACUUACAGGAACCUUGUCAAGGAGAUAGUUUUAACUAGGCAUGCAAUUUUGGAUGGUGAAAUUGGUAGGCAGGAAUGAAGCGUUGAGUGUCUUCAAUUUCUAGUUUCAGUAAAAAAAUAAAAUAAAAUAAAAUA